This 459-nucleotide ribosomal RNA is filed under the name uncultured bacterium. Its description in RNAcentral is "partial 16S ribosomal RNA". It matches the Rfam family "Bacterial small subunit ribosomal RNA", at positions 338 to 795 of the family's 1533-position model. The record is from RNAcentral.
CCUACGGGAGGCAGCAGUGAGGAAUAUUGGUCAAUGGUCGGGAGACUGAACCAGCCAAGCCGCGUGAGGGAUGAAGGUACAGAGUAUCGUAAACCUCUUUUGUCAGGGAACAAAGGCGGGGACGUGUCCCCGGAUGAGUGUACCUGAAGAAAAAGCAUCGGCUAACUCCGUGCCAGCAGCCGCGGUAAUACGGAGGAUGCGAGCGUUAUCCGGAUUUAUUGGGUGAAAGGGGUGCGCAGGCGGUCUGUUAAGUCAGCGGGCAAAGCCCGGGGCUCAACCCCGGCCCGCCGUUGAAACUGGCAGUCUCGAGUUGGAGAGAAAUAUGCGGAAUGCGCGGUGUAGCGGUGAAAUGCAUAGAUAUCGCGCAGAACUCCGAUUGCGAAGGCAGCAUGCCGGCUCCACACUGACGCUGAGGCACCAAAGCGUGGGUAUCGAACAGGAUUAGAUACCCGGGUAGUC